GGACCUGACUGCUAUCGGAUUGAUACUAAGCCAUGUGAGUCAUUGUAGCAAUACAAGGCAGACGGCUCAGUAACACGUAGCCAACCUACCCUAUGGACGGGGAUAACCUCGGGAAACUGAGGAUAAACCCCGAUAGAUCAUUAUACCUGGAACGGUUUAUGGUCCAAAUGAUUCGUCGCCGUAGGAUGGGACUGCGGCCUAUCAGCUUGUUGGUGAGGUAAUGGCCCACCAAGGCUAUUACAGGUACGGGCUCUGAGAGGAGAAGCCCGGAGAUGGGUACUGAGACACGGACCCAGGCCCUAUGGGGCGCAGCAGGCGAGAAAACUUUGCAAUGUGCGCAAGCACGACAAGGUUAAUCCGAGUGAUUCCUGCUAAAGGAAUCUUUUGCUAGUCCUAAAAACACUAGCGAAUAAGGGGUGGGCAAGUUCUGGUGUCAGCCGCCGCGGUAAAACCAGCACCUCAAGUGGUCAGGAGGAUUAUUGGGCCUAAAGCAUCCGUAGCCUGCUCUGUAAGUUUCCGGUUAAAUCCAUUAGCUCAACUGAUGGGCCGCCGGAAAAACUGCAAAGCUAGGGAGUGGGAGAGGUAGACGGUACUCGGUAGGAAGGGGUAAAAUCCUUUGAUCUAUUGAUGACCACCUGUGGCGAAGGCGGUCUACCAGAACACGUUCGACGGUGAGGGAUGAAAGCUGGGGGAGCAAACCGGAUUAGAUACCCGGGUAGUCCCAGCUGUAAACGAUGCAGACUCGGUGAUGCCCUGGCUUGUGGCCAGUGCAGUGCCGCAGGGAAGCCGUUAAGUUUGCCGCCUGGGAAGUACGUACGCAAGUAUGAAACUUAA
Molecule: ribosomal RNA, 834 nt
Filed under: uncultured archaeon
Lineage: Archaea
Description: bacterial SSU rRNA
Rfam family: Archaeal small subunit ribosomal RNA
Source: RNAcentral